CUUACAAUGGAGAACUAAAAC
RNAcentral lists this small nuclear RNA (21 nucleotides) under Arabidopsis thaliana (thale cress). RNAcentral's name for it is "snRNA_01872". Lineage: Eukaryota; Viridiplantae; Streptophyta; Magnoliopsida; Brassicales; Brassicaceae. The record is from RNAcentral.